This 463-nucleotide ribosomal RNA is filed under the name uncultured bacterium. RNAcentral describes it as "bacterial SSU rRNA". It matches the Rfam family "Bacterial small subunit ribosomal RNA", at positions 331 to 792 of the family's 1533-position model. The record is from RNAcentral.
CCAGACUCCUACGGGAGGCAGCAGUGCGGAAUAUUGGUCACUGGGCGCGAGCCUUCCCCAGCCAAUUCGCUUGAGGGAAGACGGUCCUAUGGAUUUUCCCCCUCUUUUGUCUUUGAGCAAAAGCCGCCACGUGUGUCUUUCCGAGAGUACCCUCCUAAAAAGCCUCUUCUAACUCCGUUCCCUCAGCCGCGUUCCUCCGGAGGAUUCGCUCUUUAUCCGGAUUUAUUGGGUUUAAAGGGUGCGUAGGCGGAAUAUCAAGUCAGGGGUAAAAAUUCGGGGCUCAACCCCGUCGUGCCGUUGAAACUGAUGUUCUUGAGUGGGCGAGAAGGAUGCGGAAUGCGUGGUGUAGCGGUGAAAUGCAUAGAGAGAGAGCAGAACGCCGAUGGCGAAGGCAGCAUGCCGGCUCCACACUGACGCUGAGGCACGAAAGCGUGGGGAGCGAACAGGAUUAGAUACCCCCGUU